RNAcentral lists this ribosomal RNA (468 nucleotides) under uncultured bacterium. RNAcentral describes it as "partial 16S ribosomal RNA". It matches the Rfam family "Bacterial small subunit ribosomal RNA", at positions 28 to 507 of the family's 1533-position model. The record is from RNAcentral.
GACGAACGCUGGCGGCGUGCUUAACACAUGCAAGUCGAACGGAAAGGCCCUGCUUUUGUGGGGUGCUCGAGUGGCGAACGGGUGAGUAACACGUGAGUAACCUGCCCUUGACUUUGGGAUAACUUCAGGAAACUGGGGCUAAUACAGGAUAGGAGCUCCUGCUGCAUGGUGGGGGUUGGAAAGUUUCGGCGGUUGGGGAUGGACUCGCGGCUUAUCAGCUUGUUGGUGGGGUAGUGGCUGACCAAGGCUUUGACGGGUAGCCGGCCUGAGAGGGUGACCGGCCACAUUGCGACUGCGAUACGGCCCAGACUCCUACGUGAGGCAGCAGUGGGGAGUAUUGCACAAUGGGCGGAAGCCUGAUGCAGCAACGCCGCGUGCGGGAUGACGGCCUUCGGGUUGUAAACCGCUUUCGCCUGUGACGAAGCGUGAGUGACGGUAAUGGGUAAAGAAGCACCGGCUAACUACGUG